GGUUGGUCGGAAGGUAGUGAGUUAUCGCAAUCGAUUUUUCAGUCUGUUACAGAUCGAACUCCUUGUUCUGUUUCCUCCCCCGUCUUACUGCUGCACUUGACUUGUCAAAA
Aotus nancymaae (Ma's night monkey) is the source of this 110-nucleotide unclassified non-coding RNA. It matches the Rfam family "Y RNA". Rfam says of the family: Y RNAs are components of the Ro ribonucleoprotein particle (Ro RNP), in association with Ro60 and La proteins. The record is from Ensembl. NCBI's taxonomy places the organism in Eukaryota, Metazoa, Chordata, Mammalia, Primates, Aotidae.